Molecule: ribosomal RNA, 253 nt
Filed under: uncultured bacterium
Lineage: Bacteria
Description: partial 16S ribosomal RNA
Rfam family: Bacterial small subunit ribosomal RNA
Source: RNAcentral
UACGAAGGGAGCGAGCGUUGUUCGGAAUCACUGGGCUUAAAGCGUACGUAGGCGGCAUAACAAGUCAGGAGUAAAAUCCCAGGGCUUAACCCUGGAAUGUCUCUUGAAACUGUCAUGCUGGAGUCCCGGAGAGGUUAGCAGAAUUCCGAGUGUAGAGGUGAAAUUCGCAGAUAUUCGGAGGAAUACCAGUGGCGAAGGCGGCUAACUGGACGGGUACUGACGCUGAUGUACGAAAGCGUGGGGAGCAAACAGG